Molecule: ribosomal RNA, 374 nt
Filed under: uncultured bacterium
Lineage: Bacteria
Description: partial 16S ribosomal RNA
Rfam family: Bacterial small subunit ribosomal RNA
Source: RNAcentral
CCUACGGGAGGCAGCAGUGAGGAAUAUUGGUCAAUGGGCGCGAGCCUGAACCAGCCAAGUCGCGUGAGGGAGGACGGCCCUACGGGUUGUAAACCUCUUUUGCCGGGGAGCAACGGGCGUCACGUGUGGCGCCACUGAGAGUACCCGGAGAAAAAGCAUCGGCUAACUCCGUGCCAGCAGCCGCGGUAAUACGGGGGAUGCGAGCGUUAUCCGGCUUUAUUGGGUUUAAAGGGUGCGUAGGCGGAUCGUUAAGUCAGUGGUCAACUUGAGGGGCCCAACCCCUUCCCGCCAUUGAAACUGGUGGUCUGGAGGAGAAGAGAAGUAUGCGGAAUGCGUGGUGUAGCGGGGAAAUGCAGAGAUAUCACGCAGAACAC